RNAcentral lists this ribosomal RNA (500 nucleotides) under uncultured bacterium. Its description in RNAcentral is "partial 16S ribosomal RNA". It matches the Rfam family "Bacterial small subunit ribosomal RNA", at positions 29 to 523 of the family's 1533-position model. The record is from RNAcentral.
AUUGAACGCUGGCGGCAUGCCUUACACAUGCAAGUCGAACGGCAGCACGGGAGCAAUCCUGGUGGCGAGUGGCGAACGGGUGAGUAAAGCAUCGGAACGUGCCCAGUCGUGGGGGAUAACGUAGCGAAAGCUACGCUAAUACCGCAUACGAUCUGUGGAUGAAAGCGGGGGACCGUAAGGCCUCGCGCGAUUGGAGCGGCCGAUGUUAGAUUAGGUAGUUGGUGAGGUAAAGGCUCACCAAGCCGACGAUCUGUAGCUGGUCUGAGAGGACGACCAGCCACACUGGGACUGAGACACGGCCCAGACUCCUACGGGAGGCAGCAGUGGGGAAUUUUGGACGAUGGGCGCAAGCCUGAUCCAGCAAUGCCGCGUGCAGGAUGAAGGCCUUCGGGUUGUAAACUGCUUUUGUACGGAGCGAAACGGCUUCCACUAAUACUGGGGGCUAAUGACGGUACCGUAAGAAUAAGCACCGGCUAACUACGUGCCAGCCGCCGCCGUAA